This 1446-nucleotide ribosomal RNA is filed under the name Staphylococcus saprophyticus. RNAcentral describes it as "bacterial SSU rRNA". It matches the Rfam family "Bacterial small subunit ribosomal RNA". Lineage: Bacteria; Bacillati; Bacillota; Bacilli; Caryophanales; Staphylococcaceae. The record is from RNAcentral.
UGCCUAAUACAUGCAAGUCGAGCGAACAGAUAAGGAGCUUGCUCCUUUGACGUUAGCGGCGGACGGGUGAGUAACACGUGGGUAACCUACCUAUAAGACUGGGAUAACUUCGGGAAACCGGAGCUAAUACCGGAUAACAUUUGGAACCGCAUGGUUCUAAAGUGAAAGAUGGUUUUGCUAUCACUUAUAGAUGGACCCGCGCCGUAUUAGCUAGUUGGUAAGGUAACGGCUUACCAAGGCGACGAUACGUAGCCGACCUGAGAGGGUGAUCGGCCACACUGGAACUGAGACACGGUCCAGACUCCUACGGGAGGCAGCAGUAGGGAAUCUUCCGCAAUGGGCGAAAGCCUGACGGAGCAACGCCGCGUGAGUGAUGAAGGGUUUCGGCUCGUAAAACUCUGUUAUUAGGGAAGAACAAAUGUGUAAGUAACUGUGCACGUCUUGACGGUACCUAAUCAGAAAGCCACGGCUAACUACGUGCCAGCAGCCGCGGUAAUACGUAGGUGGCAAGCGUUAUCCGGAAUUAUUGGGCGUAAAGCGCGCGUAGGCGGUUUCUUAAGUCUGAUGUGAAAGCCCACGGCUCAACCGUGGAGGGUCAUUGGAAACUGGGAAACUUGAGUGCAGAAGAGGAAAGUGGAAUUCCAUGUGUAGCGGUGAAAUGCGCAGAGAUAUGGAGGAACACCAGUGGCGAAGGCGACUUUCUGGUCUGUAACUGACGCUGAUGUGCGAAAGCGUGGGGAUCAAACAGGAUUAGAUACCCUGGUAGUCCACGCCGUAAACGAUGAGUGCUAAGUGUUAGGGGGUUUCCGCCCCUUAGUGCUGCAGCUAACGCAUUAAGCACUCCGCCUGGGGAGUACGACCGCAAGGUUGAAACUCAAAGGAAUUGACGGGGACCCGCACAAGCGGUGGAGCAUGUGGUUUAAUUCGAAGCAACGCGAAGAACCUUACCAAAUCUUGACAUCCUUUGAAAACUCUAGAGAUAGAGCCUUCCCCUUCGGGGGACAAAGUGACAGGUGGUGCAUGGUUGUCGUCAGCUCGUGUCGUGAGAUGUUGGGUUAAGUCCCGCAACGAGCGCAACCCUUAAGCUUAGUUGCCAUCAUUAAGUUGGGCACUCUAGGUUGACUGCCGGUGACAAACCGGAGGAAGGUGGGGAUGACGUCAAAUCAUCAUGCCCCUUAUGAUUUGGGCUACACACGUGCUACAAUGGACAAUACAAAGGGCAGCUAAACCGCGAGGUCAUGCAAAUCCCAUAAAGUUGUUCUCAGUUCGGAUUGUAGUCUGCAACUCGACUACAUGAAGCUGGAAUCGCUAGUAAUCGUAGAUCAGCAUGCUACGGUGAAUACGUUCCCGGGUCUUGUACACACCGCCCGUCACACCACGAGAGUUUGUAACACCCGAAGCCGGUGGAGUAACCAUUUAUGGAGCUAGCCGUCGAAGGUGGACAAA